RNAcentral lists this unclassified non-coding RNA (237 nucleotides) under uncultured fungus. RNAcentral's name for it is "sequence contains ITS2". The record is from RNAcentral. Lineage: Eukaryota; Fungi.
AACGCACAUUGCACCCUCUGGUAUUCCGGGGGGUAUGCCUGUUCGAGCGUCAUUACAACCCUCAAGCUCUGCUUGGUAUUGGGUCUCGCCUCUCUGGUGGGCCUUAAAAUCAGUGGCGGUGCCAUCUGGCUUCUAGCAUAGUAAUACCUCUUGCUAUGGAGCUCAGGUGUUUGCCUGCCACCAACCCCAUCUUAUAUGGUUGACCUCGGAUCAGGUAGGGAUACCCGCUGAACUUAA